Molecule: long non-coding RNA, 208 nt
Filed under: Chlamydomonas reinhardtii
Lineage: Eukaryota; Viridiplantae; Chlorophyta; Chlorophyceae; Chlamydomonadales; Chlamydomonadaceae
Description: long non-coding RNA (CREI_LNC001457)
Source: RNAcentral
GCGGUAGCGGCACCGGCAGAGGUAGCGGCACCGGCAGCGGUAGCGGCACCGGCAGCGGUAGCGGCACCGGCAGCGGUAGCGGCACCGGCAGCGGUAGUGGCACCGGCAGCGGCAGCGGCACCGACGGCGGCGGCGGCGGGAAUGUUGGCAAUGGCAGUGACAGGAGUGGUGGUGGCUACAGUAAUAGCGGCAGCGCCCGGGUGGACAG